UUGUCUUGUGAGUUGGUCAUGAUCGUUAGUUUUUUGAGAGAAUUUGUGAGUUAGAAUUUUGGAGAAGAGGGCAAGUGAGAGUGAAGAAGGAUUUUUGACGGUUUGGAAAUAUAGAGAUGGCAGAAGGAAUGAUGUGUAUUUAAAGAGAAAUACACAUUUAAUGGGUAACGACAACUUUAGCAGUGGUAAAUUAAAGGUCUAAUCAACCUGAAAUUGCAGGUUUGAAUGAUUGGUUUAACCUCCCUAGAACUUAGGAAAUUUUUCCGGUUUAGAGUUCUAAGCAGACAGAAGUGAUUCAAAGCUAACAUAUAGAAUUUUCUAGGAAUUGAACAAUUAUAGGACUUCUGCUCAUGAUUUAAAUAUUUAUAUUUCCAAUUGUUUAGAGUAUAGAAAACAUAUCUUAGCUUUCAGAUGAAUCCAUACUGAUGAACCUAAUUCUUCAUUUAGAAUUCUCUUGAACAUGCCUCAGAUUACCAUAUUAGAGAAAAUUUUAUUAGAGAUCAGUGAGUUGUCAACGCCGCCUUUUUAUCGAGGGAAAAGAAUCGGGUUUACGAUAUUAUGGGUGGAAUGACUCCUUUAUCCCUCUUUGGGGGGAUUUAGGCUAUGGAGUUUGGAGAGAUUAUAGUGAAUUAGGACUCUUUUAGAGAAACGAAGAAGGAUUUGAAGGAAAACCAGAGAUAAGGUAAGGGCUUGAGAUUAUCUCGAGGGGAAAGUGUUAGGCACCCCUCAAGAUCCACUAGUGUGGUUCCCGGCCUUGCUUAGUUGUGACUUUAAGAAGAAUAGGAGUAGACAAGCAAAGUUGCACAUAAGAAAUACAAGCAAGUUGACAAUUUUGAAAGAAGAAAGCAACAAGUACAAAAGAGAGCUUAGUUUGAAGAAAACAUUAAUUUUCAAUAAAGGAAAAGCAGAGGGAAAAUGGGUCCUAUGUUUAACUAUAAUAUGGAUCAUUCGGCGCAAUACUCCCACACAUAUUCCUCAAAAGAGGGGUCACCUUAUGAUAUUAGCGCACCGUCAUCAUCUCCAUAUUCUAUCCUUCCCACCCCGUUAAGGUAUUCAAGUGCGAUCAGUCUUGUUUACCUAUUACAUGCUAAUACCCGUCCCGACCUAUCAAUCCCGGGGUAUUUAGACUUCUAAUAUUAAAGGGGAGAAAGGGAUGGGGCAUAUAUGGAGUUUAAAAGAACAAAAUACUAAGACGUUAAUCAAAACAAAUUGCAAAUAAGUGGGGUACAGAUCAAACACUCAAAGGCUCAUACAAACCCGUAAAUCACAACAACAAUUAGUUUAGCAUGACUUGCAAGUAUUGAUUUGGUCUUUAAUUAAAGAAAUUUAAGAGGCGGACGAAUCAGCUUAACUGAGAAAGUUGGAUAAAAAGUCUGCAUCGAGCCCCUUGGGUCUGAUUUGUUAGUUAUUGAGAUCUUAAUGUAGAAGAGCUUUAAGAGAAAGUAAAACUGUGGUAAGUUAGUAAGUAGAUUUGAAAUCAGCUGACCGUUUGAGUAGAGAAAUACAGAAGUUAUGAAAGAACUUUUUAGAGACAGGAACAUCUUAAGAAAAGAUGGGUUAGAGGGCUGUUUUUAAAAGGCAAUUUCAUGGACUGAGUAAAACAUUUAGGCAGAUAGUCGUUUAGGAAAAGAUGCAUAUUUGAAAUGUUUUAAAAGCAUACUGGUUUACAGGGGUUUUAUUGAAAACAUUACAUUAGGAUUUUAAUGACCCAUUAACAGACUGUUGUUACUUUAAGCAAAUUAGACAAGUUGAGACGGAGUCGUAUAUGCAUGAUAUCUAUUUAUCCGAUUCAUUACUCCUUUUAGAACAUUAGGGAACUGGUUAAUUAAUUAACCUACUGUUUGCCUAGCGUUUUAUGUGUUUCCUAUAGGCAUGAUUUCUAUGUGCUUACAAUGCAGAAGUCCUACAAACAUGAUCUUUAAACUAUUUGCGAUAUCAAAAUCCUAUAGGCAUAGUUUCUAGAUGAUUUGCAAUAUUAAAAAAAGUCCUGUAGACAGGAUUUCUAAAUGAUUUGUAAUAUUAAAAUCCUAUAGACAUGGUUUCUAAAUGAUUUGCAAUAUUAAAGUCCUAUAGGCAUGGUUUCUAUAUGAUUCGCAAUAUUAACGUCCUAUAGGCAUGAUUUCUAAAUAAUUUGCAAUAUUAAAGUCCUAUAGGCAUGGUUUCUAAAUGAUUUGCAAGCAAUAUAAACCCAUCCCACACUCUUUAUAGAUAUUUCCCCGAGUUUUUUUACAUAGUUAUUUCAAAACUGAAAGAAAAGGACUGAAAUAAAUACAUCAAAACUAAAGCCAGACCCGACGAGGCUCAAUGCAACCUUCAACAUCCACCACAUGUUUCACCAAAUCCAGAUUCCAGAUUACAAGGCCUUCUCUUAGAGUGUUUCAAAGUUCCAAGGGCUUUUAGGAAGCCCAGUUAAUGCUUACACCCUAAAGGAUUAAUGUGGUAACAGAGUAGUGCAAUGUGUGGAAUUACCAGCCCUUAGGCAUCCAAGUACAGAGGAAAUUCU
This 2503-nucleotide long non-coding RNA is filed under the name Nicotiana benthamiana. RNAcentral describes it as "long non-coding RNA (NBEN_LNC016171)". Lineage: Eukaryota; Viridiplantae; Streptophyta; Magnoliopsida; Solanales; Solanaceae. The record is from RNAcentral.